RNAcentral lists this ribosomal RNA (420 nucleotides) under uncultured bacterium. RNAcentral describes it as "bacterial SSU rRNA". It matches the Rfam family "Bacterial small subunit ribosomal RNA", at positions 30 to 447 of the family's 1533-position model. The record is from RNAcentral.
AUUGAACGCUGGCGGCAGGCCUAACACAUGCAAGUCGAGCGGUAGAGAGGUGCUUGCAUCUCUUGAGAGCGGCGGACGGGUGAGUAAUGCCUAGGAAUCUGCCUAGUGGUGGGGGGAUAAACGUUCGGAAACGGACGCUAAUACCGCAUACGUCCUACGGGAGAAAGCGGGGGAUCUUCGGACCUCGCGCCAUUAGAUGAGCCUAGGUCGGAUUAGCUAGUUGGUGAGGUAAUGGCUCACCAAGGCGACGAUCCGUAACUGGUCUGAGAGGAUGAUCAGUCACACUGGAACUGAGACACGGUCCAGACUCCUACGGGAGGCAGCAGUGGGGAAUAUUGGACAAUGGGCGAAAGCCUGAUCCAGCCAUGCCGCGUGUGUGAAGAAGGUCUUCGGAUUGUAAACUAGCUUUGUUACGGUAAC